AGAAUGAGGGGAGUAGUGGUAACUGAGGAAUAAUUUGGCAGAAUAGAAAGAGGGAGAAGCCAACUCAGCAGCAGCAGGUGCAGAUGUGAUGAGCAGGGGGAGACACAGAAAGGAAGCAGAUAAGCACGCAGGCCGCAAAGCUAAAUUUAAUCACUGGGUGUGUUUAUGGGAAACUGCGAAACCACCCACAUUUUUGUUUCUCUCACACUGAUUCAACCACAUGAUAACUGCUCACACAAGUGAAGGUCAAACAAUGGUUUUGCCAGCUGAAUACCAGAAUAUGACAUUAUGGUCAAAAAAUGAGAAUGAUAUAGGAUUUAUUGACUGUACACUUUAUCACACACACCUAUUAAAACACAACAAGCCAGUAUAUGUCAAGCAAUGUCCCAUUUCUGCCGAAAAAGCCGCAGCCCUAGAUGUCAUGAUAGGAGAUUUAUUGACUAUAGGAGUAAUAAAGCCCACACUCCUGUCAAUCCUGUGCCAAAGCCUAACAAACCUGGCGUAUGGCGUUUCAUACAAGACUUAAGGCAAAUUAAUGCAGUCAACAUUGCUCUGCCACCUCUCGUUUCAGAUGUUCACAGCAUAUUGACAUGCAUUACAUACACAUUUUACCGUGGUGGAUUUAUGCUCUGCCUUUUUCUCAGUACCUGUGCAUGAAGACACACAGCCGUUAUUUGCAUUCACACAUAGAAAUAAGCAGUACACUUGGACUCUUUGCCCCAAGACAUGAUAGACAGCCCUGCUGCUUUCUCAAUGGUGGUCCGUGCUACCCUGGACAGCUUCACUCCUCCAGGGCUGUACGGGAUGACCUCCUGCUCUGUGCUGAAAGUGAAAAAAAACUAUGUCAAACUGCUACACACAUGCUUCUCCAGCACCUCCAACAGACUGGCCACAAAGCAUCAGCAAAGAAAAUGCAGUACUGUCAGACUUAUGUUCAAUAUUUGGGAUUCACACUGUCUCACGGAAAACGUUCCAUGACUGCAGACAGGGUCAAAGCUGUGACCUCUGUCCCUCGGCCCACUACACAGAAGGAAAUGUUGUCCUUAUUAGGCAUGGUGAACUAUUGCAGACAGUGGAUACCAGACUGUUCUUUUCAUGACCACAUUCUGCGUGACUGUUGUAAAAAAAGACAAGCCUCCUCGAAUACUGUGGUCCAGAGAAAUGACUGCCUCUUUAAAUGCAUUAAAGGGAGUGCUGACCUCCCCCACUCAAAGGUGCUGCCUGUGGGAAUGCCGGCCUGCCUGAGAGCAGUAGCAGCUUGCGCUAUCAUGAUAAGGGACUGCGAGAAGCUUACACUCUCACAUGACACUAUUCUACACACCAAUCACCAGGUCACGACCAUUCUAGUAAACAUAACUACACAACAUAUGCAAAUCUCACUAUAAAAGCGAGCAGCACACAUGAUUCGCCAGGACAUUUAUUGAUCCAUAUGCUGUGUUCUUCUGACCGACGGGAUGGCUCAGACAGGCUUGACGAUCAUGACUGCAUGACAUGUAUAAAGGAAUCCAAAGGAAUCACGUCCAGAUUUAGAGCUCAUUUACAUUUAGAGGCCAACAAUGGCGUUACACUCGCCUAACACAGGAACUCGAUUUUGCACCAUCCAAAACCUGUAAAUGUAAAAGACAUGUUGUGAUUUUUGGGUCUGACUGGUUACAGCAGGACCUAUGUCCCAGACUAUGUUGCCCUUACCUCCCCUCUGCGCGUUUUGGUAAAUGAACAAGGCAUGAGAAACCUAUCUGCUCCCCUAUCAUGGACUACAGAAGCAGAACAGGCGUUUAUACAGUUAAAACAACAGCUUUCUGUCGCCUCUGACCUUGCUGUGCCAGAUUACGCCUUGCCUUUUCAUCUUGAUGUUUCUGGAACUGGAACCCAUGUCAAUGGUAUCCUGUUCCAGAAAAAGGGGGAGAGAGAGAAAAGUGUAGACAUAUGUAAGUGCAAUGAAGAAAGUGAGAAGAAAGUGAGAAGAAAGGAGAGCGGCAAAGCAGAGAAAUGAAGGAUGACGAUGAGAAGAGGGCGAGUGGAAAAAGCUGGGUGUUGGAGCUAAGCUAUAAAACCAGGAGGGGGGAAACAGAGUGAUAGGAAGGGAGGAGUGAGGCAAGGCUGCAGAAGAGGUGUGAAGACUCAUCUUUUUCUGGAUGGGUGUGAGUUAAGGCCGGAGCAGAGAGAGGCCUGGGAGCACAGCAUAGCCUAGUGGUAAUAAACCAGGAAACCCCAGUAGAGAAACAGACAACAUCAGCUAUAAGGAAGCUAUAAAGUGUUUUUAAAAUCAAAAUAUAGUCUUCAGUCUGAGCUUGAUAUCUUUAAAGUUGAUUGCUAGCUAGUUUACUCUUAUAGGGAAAUCGGUUAAAAGGGACCGUUUCAGAAAUUUUAGAAGUCAUGUUUGUUUUUGUACAUGUUAUGAGAUAUUUAAUUCAUAAAAUACACAUAUCAAGGGAAAUUCCAGUCCCCUUGACAUAUUUUGUUUUAAAUUGUAUAAAACAGUAUUGUGUCCAUAGCAUAAAAUGUAGCGUACGGUAAAGGAAACAGUUGGGUAAUCAAUUGAAUCUAAAUAGGUUUGAAACAUAAGUUUGGCUCAGUUUACCACCCCCAAUCCCAGGGGAAAGUGGAAAGGAUGAAUCAAACUCUAAAAACUAAAUUGGCUAAAAUCUGUGCACAGACCAAAUUAGAUUGGGUUAAGGCAUUGCCUCUUGCAUUAAUGUCCAUAAGAUGCUCAGUAAAUCAAACCUCUGGUUACACUCCAUUUGAGUUGGAGCAUGGCAGGCCUUUUCCUGGCCCCUCCUCUCGCCUGUUAAUGUCGGAUGAAGCUGAUUCAGACCUCGAUCCGAGGACAUAUUAUAACAUGCUCCGCAGUUUUGUUGCCCAGUAUUCCUCACAGGUUCGCUGAAAGAAACCAGCAAGAGCUGAAAGAGGCUGCACCUGGAGUGGACUACGUCCUCCUGAAAGUCACAAAGAGAAAGUGGGCUGAGCCUCGCUGGACAGGCCCUUACCGCAUAACAGAGCGGACCUCCCACGCUGUCAGGCUCGAAGGGAAAGGUGACACCUGGUUUCAUUACACACAGUGCGCUGCUGCCACCGAACCAGGAAGAACCUUGAGAGAGGUGCAGAAGGACCUGUCAGAAGGAGCUGCAACAGCAUCACCAACCACUUGAGGGAGCCAACGCUCAACCUACAAGCCGGCUGGUUACAAAAGGGGGUGUUCUUCAUACUGAACUAAACAUUUUUAUUUUUCUAUUUUUAACAUCUUUUAUGAUUUUGCUUUUAUAUUGGCUUGAGUUGUUAAGAUUUACAUUUUACAUUGCAAUAGUUUUAAUCGCUGAAAGCUCAUUUAAAGUUGUGUCACUGAUAUUUUUUGUUGCUCUUUAACUCCUAGAACACGCCCUUGGCGAGGUGGGGGGAACUGGACCACGUUUCUGUGCCCCAUCAUCUUCUAUUAGAAGACUUACAAGCUAAGUAAACAUGUCUUGGCCCUUUCCCCUGAAAUGACAGGCAGGCAAAGAUGUUCUGUUGUAUUCCAUGCAUUCGAUCCCUCUUCCAGAGACUGAUUGUUACAGCUCUCACUCCGGAGGAUAAGGAUCUCGCCCUGCAGAUGCCUUUAUUGGCUAGUCAACUUCCCACCUCCUCGCCAACGGAUGAUGAAGACUCUGAUCGUGAUGAUGACGAACAUUAUCGUCUUUCUCUUGUAUAAAUGCUUCUAGAAUGGUUGUUUCUCUGUGGUGUUUUGUAUUAUGCUUGUUAUCAAUUGUUUCCCUCACCCACUUCCUCUUGAAGGAUAUAUCUGGUUGAACUGUGUCUGGUCGGGUUGUGAGGGUUAAGCGAUGUUCUCAGGGUCUCCGGACUUAAGCCUGAGCAAAUGUGUACUCCGACCACUGGAUAUAAAUUGCUUUUUUCCACACCCCUUCCUCACGUUUUACCAUAUUUACUUUUUGAAUGUCCUUAGCAGUUACCGUUCUGGGUUUAUUUUACUGUUGAUUUAUUCUUUCACAUUUUUACGUUUAUAUCUCUCAUUAUUAUAGUAUACUCUGUACUCUCCACAUUUUUAUCAUUACUUAUGCUUUUUGGUUGCUGGGUUACAUGAACUGUUAAUUUUGUGUCACUACCCUGGUUGCGCUGACUCGUUGUAUCCAUGUGUGCAGGAUAGCUGUUACUGCUUUCGUCUGGAACCGAGACUGAUUGCAGCCGACCCCUGGGCAGGGUGGUGCCUGGACUCUUUUCUCCUCAUCUGCAAUGACAGAUAAAGACAAAUGAUAAGACCCGAGGAGUUUUUCGAGCCAGGCUUCGACACGUCUCUGUGUUCCUUUGAAUGUUACUUAUUUUUGUGUGUUGACCCAUUUUAAGAUGGGUCAAAAGGGGGAUUUGAAGAAAAUAUAAUCUGUUUAAACAUUGUUCAGCUUUAAAGUUACUGUGCAACUGUAAUAAAAAUGUGCUCACGACUUUGGCCUUGAGAGCGAUAAGAAGCGAUCGCCUCAUCCUGCAGGUGCAAGAUAUCUACACGCCGAAGAGGCUAGAUUUCCUUUUAUGGAGUUGUUUUUCUGCUAGUGCAGCACUUCCCCCUGUAAGUUUUAGAGAAUAUAUACCCAUCCUCACAGCAAAUCUUUGGAAUCUCCUGAUGUGAGCUGUUGUUGAGAGGUUGUCUCUGUCUCAAUAAAGUUCACUGAUUCCCCA
Molecule: long non-coding RNA, 4662 nt
Organism: Haplochromis burtoni (Burton's mouthbrooder)
Lineage: Eukaryota; Metazoa; Chordata; Actinopteri; Cichliformes; Cichlidae
Exons: 2
Source: RefSeq, a predicted model, not a curated record